AGAGUUUGAUCCUGGCUCAGGAUGAACGCUGGCGGCGUGCCUAACACAUGCAAGUCGAGCGAAGCACUUUACUCUGAAUCUUUCGGGAGGACGAGUGAUUUGACUGAGCGGCGGACGGGUGAGUAACGCGUGGGUAACCUGCCUCACACAGGGGGAUAACAGUUAGAAAUGACUGCUAAUACCGCAUAAGGCCACAGCACCGCAUGGUGCAGGGGUAAAAACUCCGG
This 227-nucleotide ribosomal RNA is filed under the name uncultured bacterium. RNAcentral describes it as "partial 16S ribosomal RNA". It matches the Rfam family "Bacterial small subunit ribosomal RNA", at positions 8 to 214 of the family's 1533-position model. The record is from RNAcentral.